RNAcentral lists this ribosomal RNA (292 nucleotides) under uncultured bacterium. Its description in RNAcentral is "partial 16S ribosomal RNA". It matches the Rfam family "Bacterial small subunit ribosomal RNA", at positions 505 to 796 of the family's 1533-position model. The record is from RNAcentral.
GUGCCAGCAGCCGCGGUAAUACGGGGGGGGCAAGCGUUGUUCGGAAUUACUGGGCGUAAAGGGCUCGUAGGCGGGCGAUAAAGUCAGGGGUGAAAUCUUUCGGCUCAACCGGAAAAGUGCCCCUGAUACUGAUUGUCUCGAGGGAGGUAGGGGCAUGUGGAACUUCCGGUGGAGCGGUGAAAUGCGUAGAUAUCGGAAGGAACGCCGGUGGCGAAAGCGACGUGCUGGAUCUCUUCUGACGCUGAGGCGCGAAAGCCAGGGGAGCGAACGGGAUUAGAAACCCGCGUAGUCC